This 253-nucleotide ribosomal RNA is filed under the name uncultured bacterium. RNAcentral's name for it is "partial 16S ribosomal RNA". It matches the Rfam family "Bacterial small subunit ribosomal RNA", at positions 524 to 776 of the family's 1533-position model. The record is from RNAcentral.
UACAGAGGGUGCAAGCGUUAAUCGGAAUUACUGGGCGUAAAGCGUGCGUAGACGGUUAUGUAAGUCGGGUGUGAAAGCCCCGGGCUCAACCUGGGAAUUGCAUUCGAGACUGUGUAGCUAGGGUACGGAAGAGGGAAGCGGAAUUUCAGGUGUAGCGGUGAAAUGCGUAGAUAUCUGAAGGAACACCAGUGGCGAAAGCGGCUUCCUGGACCAAUACUGACGCUCAUGUGCGAAAGCGUGGGGAGCAAACAGG